UCGCUCACUUUAGAAGCAUAUAUACUAAAAUUGGAACCAUAGAGAAAUUAGCAUGGCCCCAGAGCAAGGAUGACAUGCUAAUUCAUGAAGUGGCUCAUCUUUUA
This is a small nuclear RNA of Echinops telfairi (small Madagascar hedgehog), 104 nucleotides long. The record is from RefSeq and is a predicted model, not a curated record. Lineage: Eukaryota; Metazoa; Chordata; Mammalia; Afrosoricida; Tenrecidae.